Molecule: non-coding RNA, 9224 nt
Organism: Aegilops tauschii subsp. strangulata
Lineage: Eukaryota; Viridiplantae; Streptophyta; Magnoliopsida; Poales; Poaceae
Source: RefSeq, a predicted model, not a curated record
AAGCCCUAUGCUCCUCCUCCUCCCAUGCUGGCCGCCAACAGUCGCCUCGUCCCCUGCUCACCGACUUGGACUCGAAGUGAUUCUACACUCACAGAGUGGCGCAAUGAGACUGAAAGGCAGGAGAAAGGAAGGAAUGCAGUGGAAGAGGCCACACUCCGUUGAGGGAUUUGGGGAGGAGACGCGGGAGUUGAGAUAGAACCUCACUUUUUUUUUGAGUAACACACACCUCACUUUUUUUUUUGAGAAAACACACACGCCUCACCUUUUUUUUAGGGCUUCACACACCUCACCUCGGCAGUGUACUCACCGAGUCCCCGCUUCCAAGCCCAUCUGUCUCCCCUAUGUGGACCAGGCCCACAAAGUACGGGCCAGUCCCUCGCCCGGACGACACAGGGUUACACGUCAAGUGCGGCCCGCUCCGCGUACCCAUCGCGCUCCCGUACGAGACUGACACGGCCGGGGAACGCUCCCAGAUCGCCGCCGCAUAGCCUUCCGCCGCCGGGUUCGACGAGGGAGCCAGGGCACGCAAGGCGGCCUAUAGCCUAUAGGGAGAGUAGGUCGUGGAUUUUCGGGGAUGCGGCCCAGAGGCGCGGCAACGUCGUGGGUUGUGGGGCGGACGCGCAUCUCUACGACGACCUGGACGCCGCCGCCAUCCCGGCGCUCCUCGGCUCCUGCUUCGACGGCGAUAACGUCGAUGCUCAAGCCUGUACCAGCUCCACUACGCCGCGAAGCCAUGGUUCUUCCAUCCCACACUUAUCUUCUCAAGGAAACACACAUCAGUAUUCUUCAUAUGGUGGUGGAUACUAGAGUGGUAGUACAACAAAAAGGAUUGAUAUCCCAAAUGGAAGGUUGGUGUUAUCAUUGGAAAUGCUGGAGAAACUAUAAAGCAUAUCCAACUUUAGUCAGGGGCAAAGAUAAGUAACAAGGGACAUGGAUGUUCAACCCGGAUCACGGACAAGAUUGGCUGAUCUUUUGGGCACCCUGACCAGAUAAGCAGAGCUGAGCAGUUGAUAAGUGAUGUUUUUGCAGAGGCUGAUGCUGGCUCAUUUGGCACUAUCUCUAGUUGUGUUGAGCAAUUCUAGAUGCAAAUUGCUAACAACAAGGUAAGCUGGCUGCUUUCUUGACGAGAUAGUCAAAGAUGUUCGAUAGAUUAUGAAAAUUUAUGUCUAGUAAAUGAGCAUGGUGGUUAUUAUAUUGGUGGAUAAAUGGAUCUUUAAUAAACUUGAAGCAAUUUGGAUUUAGUUAGGUGAUUAUGAUCUUGCACCAAAUUUCAUGGUGGAUUAUGAGAUUUUGAUGCAUUUAUUUAGUUCAUUGUGAUCUUGAGGAGAUAGUCAAAGAUGUUCGGUGGAUUAAUUAAUCUUGGACAAUUUGGAUUUAGUUAGGUGAUUGUGAUAUUGAACCAUAUUUAUGAUAAAUUAUGAGAUUUUAGGUGGAUUUAGUUACGUGAUUUAAUCUUGAGAAGAUAGUAAAAAAUGUUUUGUGGAUUAUGAGAUUUUAGGUAUGGUAGAUGAGCGUGUUGAUUAUUAUAUUGGUGGAUAAAUAGAUCUUUAAUUUUGUUUGGAACAUUUUUGAUUUAGUUAAGUGAUUGCGAUCUUAAACCAAAUUUCACGGUGGAUUAUGAGGUUUUGAUUGGAUUUAGUUAGGUGAUUGUGAUCUUGACGAGCUCGUAAAAGAUGUUCGGUGGGUUAUGUGAAUUUAGGUCUAGUAGGUGAGCAUGGUGGUUAUUUUAUUGGUGAAUAAUAAAUUUUUAAUAAACUUGAGAAAUUUUGGAUUUAGUUAGGCGAUUGUGAUCUCGAACCAAAUUUCAUGGUGGAUUACGAGAUUUUAGAAAGAUUUAGUCGGUUGAUUGUGAUCUUGAGGAAAUACUCAAAGAUAUUCGAUGGAUUGAUUAAUCUUGAACAAUUUGGAUUUAUUAGGCUAUUGUGAUAUUGAACCGAAUUUCACAAUGAUUUAUGUGAUUUUAGGUGGAUUUAGUUAAGUUAUUAUGAUCUUGGGAAGAUGGUCAAAGAUGUUGGGUGGAUUUUAAGAUUUUAUGUCUAGUAUGUGAGCAUGAUGACUAUUAUAUUGGUGGAUAAACAAACCUUUAAUUUAGUUUGAAACAAUUUGAAUUUAGUUUGGUGAUUUUGAUCUUUUAACCAAAUUCGCGGUGGAUUUUGAUGUUUGGGUUGGAUUUAGUUAGGUGAUUGUGAUCUUGAUGAGGUAGUCAAAGAUGUUUGAUGGAUUAUGUAAGAAUUUAUGUCUAGUAGUGAGCAUGGUGGUUGUUAUAUUGGUGGAUAAAUGGAUAUUUAGUAAACUUGGAGUAAUUUGGAUUUAGUUAGGCGGGUGUGAUCUUGAACCAAAUUUCAUGGUAAUUACGAAAUUUUUAAAUGGAUUUAAUUAGUUAAUUGAGAUCUUGAGGAGAUAGUCAAAGAUGUUCGUUGGAUUAAUUAAUCGUGAACAAUUUGGACUUAGUUCGGUGAUUGUGACAUUGAACCAAAUUUGUCGGUGAUUUAUUUGAUUGUGGGUGGAUUUAGUUAGGUGAUUGUGUCUUAAGAAGAUAGUUAAAAUGUGUGGUGGAUUAUGAGAAUUUAGGUAUGUUAAAUGAGCAUAUCUUAUGGGAAAUGAUUCCCUUCAACCGACAUAUCUUAUGCGAGCGUCCACCACCUCCAUGUCUGUUAGAUGGGCUUCAUUAGACAGUCUGGAGCAACUGGUCCAUUGUUUUAGAAAGAGAUUCUGCAACUAGCCCCUUUUUGCAAAUCGACGAAGAGCUAAAUCUCCAGGGGCUAGAUCCCGCAACAUGACUUAUGUUGCAAAACAAAUCCCACAACACGACGCAUUCUGCAAAAAAAAUCUGCAACACAACCCAUGUUGCAAAACAAAUACCACAAACACAACCUAGUUUGCCCAAAAAAAAGCAACAUAACCUCUGUUGCAAAUGUCUCCGCAACAAGACAUCUGUUGUUAAAAAUAUCCACCGGCUAACGUGUAGCAGCCCCCUUAUUAUAUUGGUGCAUAAACAAAUCUUUAAUUUAGUUUGGAACAAUUUGGAUUUAGUUAGGUGAUUGUGAUCUUUCAACCAAAUUCAUGGUGUUUUGCGGUUUGUUGGAUUUAGUUAGGUGACAGUGAUCUUGACGAGAAAGUCAAAGAUGUUUGGUGAAUUAUGUUAAUUUUGUUCUAGUAAGUGAGCAUGGUGGUUAUUAUAUUGGUGGAUAAAUGGAUCUUUAGUAAACAUGGAGCAAUUUGGAUUUAGUUAGGCGAUUGUGAUCUUGAAAAAAAAUUCACGGUGGAUUACGAGAUUUUCAAUGGAUUUAGUUAGUAGAUUGUGAUCUUAGGGAGAUGUCAAAGAUGUUCAGUGGAUUAAUUAAUCUUGAACAAUUUGGAUUUAGUUAGGUGAUUGUGAUAUUGAACUAACUCCGCCUAUGGUGUCUCAACAUAGCCGGUCCAAGCCCUGGUAAAGGAGGAGGGUUGUGAUAGGCUGGCGAGCCAACAUAAAAACUCAGCCACUCUUAUGGAGAUGAAACCCAAAAGAUUUUUGUUGGGACGUAACCCUCUCAGCGGCGUGCCACAUCGGAACCUGGGGUGGUGUCAAAUGGGCAAGGGCCAGGUUGUCACCCCUCCGAUGGCACGCCGUAUCUUGAUCUGGAUAUGGUGGCAAGUGAGCGAGGAUCGGGUCGUCGCAUCCUUAGUGGCGCGCUACAUCGGCACCCUGAUGUAGUGGAAAAUGAGCAAGGGUCUUCGCAUUUGACUCGACGAGUGCGAAGGGUAAGGAAGCUAGCCGAGCCUAGGAGGAUCUGCUUAGGUACCUGGAACAUAGGGUCUCUGACAGGGAAGCUUCGAGAGCUAGUUGAUGCAGCGGUGAGGAGAAGUGUUGAUAUCUUUUGCGUCCAAGAAACCAAAUGGAGAGGACAGAAGGUGAAGGAGGUGGAGGAUACCGGCUUCAAGUUGUGGUACACGGGGACAGUUACAAACAGAAAUGGCGUAGGCAUCUUGAUCAACAAGAUUCUCAAGUAUGGAGUGGUAGACGUCAAGAGAUGUGGGGGCAUGAUUAUCCUGGUCAAGCUGUUAGUUGGGGACUUAGUUCUCAAUGUUAUCAGCGCAUAUGCCUCGCAAGUAGGCCACAAUGAGAACACCAAGAGGAAGUUCUGGGAAGGCCUGGAGGACAUGGUCAGGAGUGUACGGAUUGGCGAGAAGCUCUUCAUAGGAGGAGACCCUCAAUGGCCACGUGGGUACAUCUAACAUAGGUUUUGAAGGGGUGCAUGAGGGCUUUGGCUAUGGCAUCAGGAAUCAAGAAGGAGAAGAUGUCUUAAGCUUUGCUCUAGCCUACGACAUGAUCGUAGCUAACACCCUCUUUAAAAAGAGAGAAUCACUUCUAGUUGCUUUUAGUAGUGGUCAACACUCUAGCCAGAUUGAUUUCAUCCUCUCGAGAAGAGAAGAUAGGCGUGCGUGCUAGUCAAAGAUGUCUGGUGUAUUAUUUAAUCUUCAACAAUUUGGAUUUAGUUAGGUGAUUGUGAUAUUGAACCAAAUUUCUCCGUGAUUUAUGAGAUUUUAGUUGGAUUUAGUUAGGUGAUUGUGUCUUGAGAAGAUAGUAAAAAAUGUUUGGUGGAUUAUGAGAUUUUAGGUCUAAAAGAUGAGCAUGGUGAUUAUUAUAUUGGUGGAUAAACAUAUAUGUAGUUUAAUUUGGAUUUAUUUAGGUGAUUGUGAUUUUCACCUAAUUUUACUGUGGAUUAUAAGGUUUUGGUUGGAUUUAGUUAGGUGAUUAUGAUUUUAGCGAGCUAGUAAAAGAUGUUCGGUGGCUUAUGUGAAUUUUGGUUCUAGUAGGUGAGCAUGUUGAUCAUUACAUUGGUGGAUAAAUGGAUCUUCAGUAAACAUGGAGAAAUUUGGAUGAGUUAGGCGAUUGUGAUCUUGAACAAAUUUCAUGGUGGAUUAUGAGACUUUCAACAGAUUUCGUUGAUUGUGAUCUUGAGGAGAUAGUCAAAGAUGUUCGGUGGAUUAAUUAAUCUUGAACAAUUUGGAUUUGGUUAGGUGAUUGUGAUAUUGAACCAAAUUUCUUUGUGAUUUAUGAGAUUUAAGUUGGAUUUAGUUAGGUGAUUGUGUCUUGAGAAUAUAAUCAAAGAUUUUUGGUGGAUUAUGAGAUUUUAGGUGUAAUAGAUGAGCAUGGUGAUUAUUAUAUUGGUGGAUAAAUAGAUAUUUAAUAUAGUUGGAACAAUUUGGAUUUAGUUCGGUGAUUGUGAUCUUUUUAACCCGAUUUUACGAUGGAUUAUAAGGUUUUGGCUGGAUUUAGUUAGGUGAUUGUAAUUUUGACAAACUGGUAAAAGAUGUUCGAUGGAUUAUGUGAAUUUAGAUUUAGUGGGUGAGCAUUUUGAUUAUUAUAUUGGUGGAUAGACAUGAGGGCCACGCAAAGUGACUUAAGGCGGUGAUGCCACUACUGAAAAUAACUAGCAAACAAGGUAAUAAAGGUGGAGAGACUAGGGGUAGUGGCAUUAGAUGGACUUGACAUCUUACGUGCCUGUGCACUCUUCUUUCCUCGCUGAUCUGGCUUGGUGUCCUUGUUCUGUUUGCGGGUUUUGUGUCACGCACUUGAUUAAGCAUCCCACGUUCUCCUACUGUGCGCCCUUGACCUUGACGAUAGGUAGCGCCGUGUUCUUGGGCACGUCUCGUGGGUAAAAUCCAGGUAUGCGCCGAUUGUCUGAGCUCUUGCUCUCCAUUGGUGGUGCUUGAGCGUGCGGUUAUGGUGGCAUCCAGCAAGGGAACACGUGAUGUGGGAUCAAGACAGCACACAUAGCAACCCGCCACCAGGCAACAGAUGCCCAUCCGGACUUCCAGGGAGCGAAGGUGGACACAAAGGUGGAUGUUGAGCUCCAUAGCAGUCUCAAUCGUGUGUUAAUCAAUAAGAGCAGCACAAGCAAGAAGAUCCUGAAUAUACUUCUCUUAGGAAAUAAAAAAGCCAUUAGAGGUAAAAGAAACCUCAAUCUCAAGGAAGUAGCGACUUCUUUAGUAAACAUGGAGCAAUUUGGAAUUAGUUAGGCAAUUGUGAUCUUGAACAAAUUUCAUGAUGGAUUAUGAUUUCGAGAUUUCGUUGAUUGUGAUCUUGAGGAGAUAGUCAAAGAUGCUCGAUGGAUUAUUUAAUCUUGAACAAUUUGGAUUUAGUUAGGUGAUUGUGAUAUUGAAUCAAAUUUCUUUGUGAUUUAUGAGAUUUUAGUUGGAUUUAGUUAGGUGAUUGUGUCUUGAGAAUAUAAUCAAUUUUUUUUGGUGGAUUAUGAGAUUUUAGGUGUAAUAGAUGAGCAUAGUGAUUAUUAUAUUGGUGGAUAAACAGAUGUUUAAUUUAGUUUGGAACAAUUUGGAUUUAGUUCGGUGAUUGUGAUCUUUCAGCCUAAUUUUACGAUGGAUUAUAAGGUUUAGUUAGGAGAUUGUAAUUUUGACAAGCUAGUAAAAGAUGUUUGAUGGAUUAUGUGAAUUUAGAUCUAGUAGGUGAGCAUUUUGCUUAUUAUAUUGGUGGAUAGAGAUGAGGGCCACACAAGUGACUUAAGGCGAUGAUGCCACUACUGAAAAUAACUAGUAAACAAGGCGAUAGAGGUGGAGAGACUGGGGGUAGUGGCAGUAGAUGGACUUGACCCGGCAUCUUACGUGCCUGAGCACUUUCCGUUCCUCGCUGAUCUGGCUUGGUGUCCUUGUCCUGUUUGUGGAUUUUGUGUCACGCACUUGAUUAAGCAUCCCACGUUCUACUGUGCGCCCUUGACCUUGACGAUAGGUAGCGCCGUGUUCUCGGGCGCGUCUCGUGGGUAAAAUUCAGGUAUGCGCCGAUUGUCCGAGCUCUUGCUCGCCAUUGUUGGUGCUUGAGCGUGCGGUUAUGGUGGCAUCCAGCAAGGGAACCCGGGAUGUGGGAUCAAGACAGCACACAUAGCAACCCGCCACCAGGCAACGGAUGCCCAUCCGGACUUUCCAGGGAGCGGAGGUGGACACAAAGGUAGAUGUUGAGCUCCAUAGCAGUCUCAAUAGUGUGCUAAUCAAUAAGAGCAGCAUAAGCAAGAAGAUCCUGAAUAUACUUCUCUUAGGAAAUAAAGAAGCCAUUAGAGGUAAAAGAAACCUCAAUCUCAAGGAAGAAGCGACUUCUUUAGUAAACAUGGAGCAAUUUGGAAUUAGUUAGGCGAUUGUGAUAUUGAACAAAUUUCAUGAUGGAUUACGAGAUUUUUCAAUGGAUUUAGUUGAUUGUGAUCUCGAGGAGAUACUUUUUCUUAACAAUAGUCAAAGAUGUUUGGUGGAUUAAUUAAUCUUGAACUUUGUGAUUAAUGAGAUUUUAGUUGGAUUUAGUUAGGUGAUUGUGUCUUGAGAUGAUAAUCAAAGAUGUUUCGUGGACUAUGAGAGGUCUAGUAGACGAGCAUGGUGAUUAUUAUAUUGGUGGAUAAACAGAUAUUUAAUUUAGUUUGGAACAAUUUGGAUUUAGUUAGGUGAUUGUGAUCUUUUAACCUAAUUUAUGGUGGAUUAUAAGGUUUUGGUUGGAUUUAGUUAGUUUAUUGUGAUUUUAACGAGCUAGUAAAAGAUGUUCGGUGGAUUAUAUGAAUUUAGGUCUACUAGGUGAGCAUGUCAAUUAUUAUAUUGGUGGGUAAAUUUAUCUUUAAUAAAUUUGGAAUAAUUUGGAUUUACUUAGGCGAUUGUGAUCUUGAACCAAAUUUUAUGGUGGAUUAGGAGAUUUUUGAUGGACUAGUUAGUUGAUUGUGAUCUUGAGAUAGUCAAAGAUGUUUGGUGGAUUAAUUAAUCUUGAACAAUUUGGAUUUAGUUAGGUGGUUGUGAUACUGAACCAAAUUUCACGCUGGAUUAUGAGAUUUUAGUUGGAUUUAGUUAGGUGAUUGUGUCUUGAGAUGAUAAUCAAAGAUGUUUGGUGGAUUAUGAGAUUUUAGGUCUAGUAGAUGAGCAUGGUGAUUACUAUAUUGGCGAAUAAACAGAUAUUUAAUUUAGUUUGGAACAAUUUGGAUUUAGUUAGAUGAUUGUGAUCUUUUGAGCAAUUUUUACGGGGCAUUAUGAGGUUUUGGUUGGAUAUAGUUAGGUGAUUGGGAUCUUGACAAGCUAGUAAAAGAUGUUCAGUAGAUUAUGUGAAUUUAGGUCUACUAGUAGGUGAGCACGUUGGUUGUUUUAUUGAUGGAUAAAUAAACUUUUAAUAAACUUGAAAAAGUUUGAAUUUAGUUAGGUGAUUGUGAUCUUCAACCAAAUUUUAUGAUGGAUUAUGAGAUUUUUUAUGGAUUAGUUAGUUGAUUGUGAUCUUGAGGAUAUAGUCAAAGAUGUUCGGUGUAUUAAUUAAUCUUGAAAGUUUUGGAUUUAGUUAGGUGAUUGUGAUAUUGAACCAAACUUCUCUGUGAUUUAUGAGAUUUUAGUUGGAUUUAGUUAGGUGGUUGUGUCUUGAGAAGAUAGUCAAAGAUGUUUGGUGGAUUAUGAGAUUUUAGGUCUAAUAGAUGAGCAUGGUGAUUAUUAUGUUGGUGGAUAAAUGAAUCUUUAAUAAAUUUGGAACAAUUUGGAUUUAGUUAGGCGCCGUGAUCUUGAACCAAACUUUAUGGUGGAUUGUGAGAUUUAGUUCGGCUGCGCUCUGACUCUUCGUCGAGGAGCAUGCGCAGUGCGGUGGUGCGGUGGCCUCAGAAGGUGGGGCGCCGACACCUGCAGCUUGUGCACAGUGGCGAGUCCACGCAUCUCCUGCGCCCCGCAACCUUCUCCUUCCCGGCACAGUAGGAGCAGGAGCAAGGAUGCCGAGGCGGUUCAGUCGCGAGGAAGAGUAGGAAGAUCAGGCAGAGAGGGUUUCACAUACCUCUUCUACACUGACAAGUCUUCGCUUUCCAGGAUUGCCAUGUGGGAAGGGAUGAAUUGAACAAGGAGGUAGGACGACGUGUUUGUUCUUCAACCAUGCCCCUCUGAAACCUAGAAAAUUGGGGGAAAUCAUGGCUAGAGCAUAUGUGAACUUGGCCUCCGGUCAUUUUAGUCAGAUUAUGCUUCACUGUCAACUAUCUGCUGUAGAAGAACCAGAGCUGUCUGGGAUGAGGAUGUCAUCCUGCCAGCUUGCCGACGACGACAACAAAGAAAAUAGGUUGGCCAAGCUGCUAGGACAAAUAUGAAGACUAACUGGUGAGUAGUGUAAGUGAACAUUGUUUGCUGUUUUUCUUUCCGGUGUGGGUUUACUAAACUUUCUAUGUAUGAAUUUCCCCUCAUAUUUUCUUCCUGGGUUGAUAAAAACUGAACAAUAUAAUUAAAUCUCUCGUGUCCAA